RNAcentral lists this ribosomal RNA (500 nucleotides) under uncultured bacterium. Its description in RNAcentral is "partial 16S ribosomal RNA". It matches the Rfam family "Bacterial small subunit ribosomal RNA", at positions 30 to 523 of the family's 1533-position model. The record is from RNAcentral.
AUUGAACGCUGGCGGAAUGCUUUACACAUGCAAGUCGAACGGCAGCACGGACUUCGGUCUGGUUGCGAGUGGCGAACGGGUGAGUAAUGCAUCGGAACGUGCCCAGUCGUGGGGGAUAACGUAGUGAAAAUUACGCUAAUACCGCAUACGAUCUAUGGAUGAAAGCGGGGGAUCGCAAGACCUCGCGCGAUUGGAGCGGCCGAUAUCAGAUUAGGUAGUUGGUGGGGUAAAGGCCCACCAAGCCAACGAUCUGUAGCUGGUCUGAGAGGACGACCAGCCACACUGGAACUGAGACACGGUCCAGACUCCUACGGGAGGCAGCAGUGGGGAAUUUUGGACAAUGGGCGAAAGCCUGAUCCAGCAAUUCCGCGUGCAGGAUGAAGGCCCUCGGGUUGUAAACUGCUUUUGUACAGAACGAAAAGGUUUCUACUAAUACUAGGAGCUCAUGACGGUACUGUAAGAAUAAGCACCGGCUAACUACGUGCCAGCCGCCGCGGUAA